UGAGGAAUAUCGGGCAAUGCCCGAAAGGGUGACCCAGCAACGCCGCGUGGAGGAUGAAGGUCGUAAGAUUGUAAACUCCUGUUAGAGGGGAAGAAUAACUAAGUUUGGAGCUUAGUAUGACUGUACCCUCAGAGAAAGCCCCGGCUAACUACGUGCCAGCAGCCGCGGUAAUACGUAGGGGGCAAGCGUUGUCCGGAUUUACUGGGUGUAAAGGGCGCGCAGGCGGAAUGGAAAGUCAGUGGUGAAAUCCUACAGCUUAACUGUAGAACUGCCUUUGAUACUUUCAUUCUUGAGUUCGGGAGAGAGAGACGGAAUUCCAGGUGUAGUGGUGAAAUACGUAGAUAUCUGGAAGAACACCAGUUGCGAAGGCGGUCUCUUGGUCCGAUACUGACGCUGAGGCGCGAAAGCGUGGGGA
RNAcentral lists this ribosomal RNA (415 nucleotides) under uncultured bacterium. Its description in RNAcentral is "bacterial SSU rRNA". It matches the Rfam family "Bacterial small subunit ribosomal RNA", at positions 355 to 767 of the family's 1533-position model. The record is from RNAcentral.